GGAAUCUUCGGCAAUGGGCGAAAGCCUGACCGAGCAACGCCGCGUGAAUGAAGAAGGCCUUCGGGUUGUAAAAUUCUGUUAUAAGGGAAGAAAGGUGAUAGGAGGAAAUGACUAUGAAUUGACGGUACCUGAUGAGAAAGCCACGGCUCACUACGUGCCAGAAGCUGCGGUAAUACGUAGGUGGCAAGCGUUAUCCGGAAUUAUUGGGCGUAAAGAGCGCGCAGGUGGUUAAUUAAGUCUGAUGUGAAAGCCCACGGCUUAACCGUGGAGGGUCAUUGGAAACUGGUUGACUUGAGUGCAGAAGAGGGAAGUGGAAUUCCAUGUGUAGCGGUGAAAUGCGUAGAGAUAUGGAGGAACACCAGUGGCGAAGGCGGAUUCCUGGUCUGCAACUGACACUGAGGCGCGAAAGCGUGGGGAGCAAACA
This 424-nucleotide ribosomal RNA is filed under the name uncultured bacterium. RNAcentral's name for it is "bacterial SSU rRNA". It matches the Rfam family "Bacterial small subunit ribosomal RNA", at positions 358 to 774 of the family's 1533-position model. The record is from RNAcentral.